GACGAACGCUGGCGGCGUGCCUAAUACAUGCAAGUAGGACGCAGUUGCGAACGGGUGAGUAACGCGUAGGUAACUACCUAUUAGAGGGGGAUAACUAUUGGAAACGAUAGCUAAUACCGCAUACUAGUAGAUGGACCUGCGUUGUAUUAGCUAGUAGGUAGGGUAAUGGCCUAACUCGGCAACGAUACAUAGCCGACCUGGGAGGGUGUACGGACACACUGGGACCGAGACACGGCCCAGAAGCCUACGGGAGGCAGCAGUAGGGAAUCGUCGGCAAGGGGGGGAACCCUGACCGAGCAACUCCGCGUGAGUGAAGAAGGGUGUCGGAUCGUAAAGCUCUGUUGUUAAGGAAGCGGUACUUAAACAGAAAGGGACGGCUAACUACGUGCCAGCAGCCGCGGUAAUUC
RNAcentral lists this ribosomal RNA (407 nucleotides) under uncultured bacterium. Its description in RNAcentral is "partial 16S ribosomal RNA". It matches the Rfam family "Bacterial small subunit ribosomal RNA", at positions 28 to 526 of the family's 1533-position model. The record is from RNAcentral.